UUUCGAAUAGAUUAUUCCUUUAAAUUAUUUUCAGAGGCUGUAAAUCCGAACAAUCUUUUGAACACUUGUUGUCACGGUGCAUUAUGUGAUGAUGGUUAUGUGUUGGACCUGGAAAACUCCAUCUGUUCGUGCAGACGUUUAUGUCCGAGCACAAAAUGCAGUGGCGCAUCAAGAACAGUAGGCUGGAUGAAAAUGGAAAGUUCGAUCUUUCUGCUUGUCUUCUACAUUUCAUCACAGAUUUACACACAGCUCUGAACAAUAUGAAAAUGUUGUCAUUAAAUUUCUCUUUUAUUGUAUUUACGUAAUAAAGAUAUAUAUAUGCAUUCUUUA
Long non-coding RNA from Limulus polyphemus (Atlantic horseshoe crab), 330 nucleotides. RefSeq lists it as uncharacterized. NCBI's taxonomy places the organism in Eukaryota, Metazoa, Arthropoda, Merostomata, Xiphosura, Limulidae. The transcript is spliced from 2 exons. The record is from RefSeq and is a predicted model, not a curated record.